AUGGCUGGGAAGAUCACAUCCCUCAGUGCUGUGGCAUUUUCCAGCUACCAACAGCAGCUCCAAAGCAGCUGUCACAGCUGGACCAGUACUUCCUCAUGUGGAUCACAAGCUACUUCUUCAGCCAAAAUGAUGCCCCCAGAACACAGUUCACCUGCCCUCUACCUAACACACAUUUUUUUUUCAACUGUAUCACUCAGAUGCAUAAAAAGAGUCACCCGUGGGUCUAUACAAGAGUCAUCCAUGUCACCCAAAUACAUACCAAGGAUAGUUGGUUUCAAGUUGCUCCCUAAUUUCUAAUCAAACCCGUUUGAUGGAGAGAAAAAGGAGGAAACGGGCAGGUAAUUACUGUCUCUUUUUCACAGUCAAUCAUGCUUCAAAUUAAAUGCCUUGAAAUCAAAGCUUAAAAGGACACUGACAAAAUAUUUUGACAAAAUAAUCUUUUCUCUUUUGUUAUGAAAACAUUGAGAACGGAGAACAGAAAUCUGUUUCCUAACUCUCCAUCUCUCCUCCUUGGAUAGACACUGCAUGUUUCUAAGUGGCUCCUCGGGAACAAUAGCGUACUGGCAAGUAAGCUGUUCACUCUUUGUAGGAAGUGGUAAGACAUUAUUUUGGUAAAUACUGCAGUUUGAUUGUGCUUAUUUGUUCAUGAAAAGAACUAAAUACCUGUGGCAACUCCCUGUGUACCAUCUUCAGAAGAUUGUUUCUAUUCUGCAAUAGCCAUUAUUCCUCCAGAGGAUAUACACCACCAACUCCAAGGACAUUCUGGUUCCUUAACAGAAACAAGAUGACACUCCUUUGGAUCCCAGCAGGCAAAUAAUGCAGUGUGCUCUCUCCACCAGCAUCAAAUCUCUCUUUUCAAACUUGCUACAAACAUUUAUUUUUUUUUUCAUUAAACGUUAGACUUUUCUCUUGAAUGUUAAGAGAAGAAACUAAAGCUGAAUGGAACACUGCUGUACAAAUUUACUGCCCAGUAGGUUACAGAAAAAGCAUCAUAUGCUAAAGAAUGAAGAUUCCAAAGACCUCCAGUGAUGCUUUUUGAGGCUUAGAAUCUAUAGUAGCUCUGAGCCUGUUAGCUGCAGAACACAUCAGUAAGACUUCUGCAGAACUACUAAAAAACAUGAACUGCAUAUGAGUAGACCAUUGAAAUCAAACUAACUUGCGCAUUUUAAAUCAAAUAUAUGAAUGAGCUUGGGAUAAAAUGCUAAUCGGAGCAGCCACGUUUCUGGUGAAACUCAUACACAGAGGAAUAAAACACAAAACACUCCAGUUUCUCUGAAGCCC
Molecule: long non-coding RNA, 1281 nt
Filed under: Coturnix japonica (Japanese quail)
Lineage: Eukaryota; Metazoa; Chordata; Aves; Galliformes; Phasianidae
Description: lncRNA (ENSCJPG00005001784.1)
Source: RNAcentral